AAAACACAAUUCUACAAAAGUGUUCAGUCUUUCUCAUAAUAUAAGUGACUUCUGUGAAAUUGAGACCAUUUUACCAAUCGCACUAAGACCUUUAGAAUGAUACCAAACAUGAAAGGGAAAACUUCAACAUAUUCACAAAAUGUAGCACAUGUAAUAUAUGGACAUUCUUAGUGACUUUCAGUGGAACCUUUUGGGGGAAAAGUGUGAGAUGCAGGAAGGGAGAGGAGAGGGAGGAAGGAGGUUGUAAAUGAGCAAUAGGGGUGGUGUUGUUUGCCCUCUUUGAAGAUCUCUUCUCCAGAUUAGUUUUAUUGUUUUGUUGCAUGGCAUCUGUUUUUGUCGGGGUUCCUGGACUUUGAAUUCAUGAGGAAAUAAUUUCACAUCUUACAAAGGUUAUAAAGCUCUGGCUUCAGCUCUGAGAUCAAACCCUUCACACCUGAUAGAGCUGGAUCUCACAGGAAAUGAUCCUGGACAAUCAGGAGUGAAGGAGCUCAGUGAUUUACUACAGAAUCCAAACUGUCAACUCAAGACACUGAGGUUUUUGGGUCCUGCUGCAGAUGAAGCCUGUCAGUAUGUGACUGGAAUUGUGGGUAAAAACCCGUUACUCCUGAGAGAGCUGAAUCUGAGUGAACGUGAACUAGGAGACACAGGAGUGAAUCAGAUCUCUGCUCUACUGCAGGAUAAACACUGUCAACUCAACACACUGAUGCUGCGUGAUUGCGGUCUAACAGAGGACAACUGUUCAUGUCUCGCUACAGUCCUGAGAUCAAACUCCAGUCUGAAAGAA
This is a long non-coding RNA of Labeo rohita (rohu), 784 nucleotides long. RefSeq lists it as uncharacterized. The record is from RefSeq and is a predicted model, not a curated record. The transcript has 3 exons. NCBI's taxonomy places the organism in Eukaryota, Metazoa, Chordata, Actinopteri, Cypriniformes, Cyprinidae.